UGAAAAACAUGGCCAUCGCACCUGUCUAACUGAUGACCUGAGAAUACAAGUUAUUUUGAAAGCGAGUAUCAGCUUUAAAGCUGGUGAAUUCAUAAGUAUUUAAGUGUUAUUGUCCUUGUUUGGAAUGCUGUUAAGAAUGUCGUAUAAAUCUUUAAAUAGAACAUUUGAUAUAAGUAUGAAAUGUGGUCUUCUACCCAGACCCGAAUGUUUUGUUAUGACAAAGUAAAAUGAUAGGUUUUCCUUUCUAUUGACUAGUACUAAAAGUACUUAGUCUAACUCAUCGUUUAUGUGAAUAUAUCACAAAAUAAAGUAAAAAGGAAAAAUGAUAUGAUAGUCUUCUACCAGACCUAAAUGUUUUGUAAGUAAAAUGAUAGUUUUUCCUUUCUAUUGACUAGUACUAAAUGUACUUAGUCUAACUCAUUGUUUAUGUGAAUAUAUCACACAAUAAAGUAAAAAGGAAAAAUGAUAUGAUAGUCUUCUACCAAGACCUAAAUGUUUUGUAAGUAAAAUGAUAGUUUUUCCUUUCUAUUGACUAGUACUAAAAGUACUUAGUCUAACUCGUCGUUUAUGUGAAUAUAUCACAAAAUAAAGUAAAAUAGGAAAAUGAUAUGAUAGUCUUCUACCAAGACCUAAAUGUUUUGUAAGUAAAAAUGAUAGUUUUUCCUUUCUAUUGAGUAGUACUAAAAGUACUUAGUCUAACUCAUCGUUUAUGUGAAUAUAUCACAAAAUAAAGUGAACAGGAAAAAGUAUAAUCAUG
Molecule: long non-coding RNA, 757 nt
Filed under: Lactuca sativa (garden lettuce)
Lineage: Eukaryota; Viridiplantae; Streptophyta; Magnoliopsida; Asterales; Asteraceae
Description: long non-coding RNA (LSAT_LNC009949)
Source: RNAcentral